GAAGGCGUGGCCGAGUGGUUAUGGCGCUGGUCUAGAAAACCAGUGGGCUUCGCCCGCACAGGUUCGAAUCCUGUCGCCUUCG
Non-coding RNA from Encephalitozoon hellem ATCC 50504, 82 nucleotides. Lineage: Eukaryota; Fungi; Microsporidia; Unikaryonidae. The record is from the annotation of a RefSeq genome assembly.